AAAUAAGAAGUAAAAUAUUUACAUUUAGUUUCGACCUAAAACAUUGGCCAAUAGCCCUUAUUUA
RNAcentral lists this transfer RNA (64 nucleotides) under Cucujoidea sp. 43 KM-2017. RNAcentral's name for it is "tRNA-Arg". Lineage: Eukaryota; Metazoa; Arthropoda; Insecta; Coleoptera. The record is from RNAcentral.